AACUCAAAGGAAUUGACGGGGCCCGCACAAGCGGAGGAGCAUGUGGUUUAAUUCGAUGAUACGCGAGGAACCUUACCUGGGCUCGAACGUAAGAUGACUGUAGGUGAAAGCUUACAUCUCUUCGGAGCAUUUUACGAGGUGCUGCAUGGUUGUCGUCAGCUCGUGCCGUGAGGUGUUGGGUUAAGUCCCGUAACGAGCGCAACCCUUGUCCUUAGUUACCAGCACGUUAUGGUGGGCACUCUAAGGAGACUGCCGGUGACAAACCGGAGGAAGGUGGGGAUGACGUCAAGUCAUCAUGGCCCUUACGGCCUGGGCUACACACGUGCUACAAUGGUCGGUACAAAGGGUUGCCAAGCCGCGAGGUGGAGCUAAUCCCAUAAAACCGAUCGUAGUCCGGAUCGCAGUCUGCAACUCGACUGCGUGAAGUCGGAAUCGCUAGUAAUCGUGAAUCAGAAUGUCACGGUGAAUACGUUCCCGGGCCUU
Molecule: ribosomal RNA, 483 nt
Filed under: uncultured Pseudomonas sp.
Lineage: Bacteria; Pseudomonadati; Pseudomonadota; Gammaproteobacteria; Pseudomonadales; Pseudomonadaceae
Description: bacterial SSU rRNA
Rfam family: Bacterial small subunit ribosomal RNA
Source: RNAcentral